UACGUAGGGGGCAAGCGUUGUCCGGAAUCAUUGGGCGUAAAGAGCGUGUAGGCGGCCCGAUAAGUCCGCCGUGAAAGUCCAGGGCUCAACCCUGGAAUGCCGGUGGAAACUGUCGGGCUGGAGUCCGGAAGAGGCGAGUGGAAUUCCUGGUGUAGCGGUGAAAUGCGCAGAUAUCAGGAGGAACACCAAUGGCGAAGGCAGCACUCUGGGACGGUACUGACGCUGAGACGCGAAAGCGUGGGGAGCAAACAGG
Molecule: ribosomal RNA, 253 nt
Filed under: uncultured bacterium
Lineage: Bacteria
Description: partial 16S ribosomal RNA
Rfam family: Bacterial small subunit ribosomal RNA
Source: RNAcentral